This is a long non-coding RNA of Portunus trituberculatus (swimming crab), 866 nucleotides long. RefSeq lists it as uncharacterized. The record is from RefSeq and is a predicted model, not a curated record. The transcript has 3 exons. NCBI's taxonomy places the organism in Eukaryota, Metazoa, Arthropoda, Malacostraca, Decapoda, Portunidae.
GUCAGCAGGAAGGAGAGGUGGCGGGGCGCGCGGUGUGAGGCCCGCCCGUCGCCCGGUGGGAUUCCAACAUGGCGGCGAGGAGAGGUGGAGGCGGGUCUGCUGGCUGCUACGUGGCACCACUCUGCCUGCAAGGAGAGUCGUGGUGGCAAAGGGCAGCGGGACGUGAUGACAACCUUGACCCAUAUUCCUCUUGAGAACCUUCAACCUCAACACAAGACAAGCAGCUUAGCCACGACACCUUGAGUGUGGCAACCACUAUGUCUCAGCGCCUCCUUCAGCGUCUCCCAGGAGCGGCGGCUGUGGGAGCUUGUGGCUUUGGCGAGGGAGGGAGCCUGACUGCAUACGUGAGGAGCAGGGGCCCCGCCAGGGAGGGAGCUGCAGUUUGGUGGCCACGCUACGAAGUGCAGUGUCACUAAGCACACAUGAUUUAUGCACCGUCCCGCAACAAAACAAGGAGAGGGAACUCAUUGCAUAUGAAUGGAACUCACUCUGCAUGCUGAGGAAAGGCAAGAUUGGAGGCAGCACAUCCAAUACCGCUCCCACGAAGCAACAUCAACAGGCGGCCUGGAGAGGAGCAAGGGAGAGGGAGGAUGCAGCGACAGACAAGAAGGAAGAAAAUAAUGAUUAACAAGAAAAUGCACGCGAUCAUAUAAUAAGAUUGUCUAUGUUUUGAUAACCACCUCCCAUGACCGCUGUAAAGCAGUGUCUUCUUCGUGUAAAUGUGUAGUUUCUGAUGCUUGGGAAGUGAGCUGUUAGAAUCAUACGCGCUCACUCCAACGUCACUUGGACACUUGUGAUGUGAGUUUACCAGUGUAAUCUAAUAUGCAUGGAAGAAAAAUUGGACUGGCAUAAAUAUCACAAACAAU